This 497-nucleotide ribosomal RNA is filed under the name uncultured bacterium. RNAcentral's name for it is "partial 16S ribosomal RNA". It matches the Rfam family "Bacterial small subunit ribosomal RNA", at positions 28 to 507 of the family's 1533-position model. The record is from RNAcentral.
GAUGAACGCUGGCGGCGUGCCUAAUACAUGCAAGUCGAGCGAACAGACGAGGAGCUUGCUCCUCUGACGUUAGCGGCGGACGGGUGAGUAACACGUGGAUAACCUACCUAUAAGACUGGGAUAACUUCGGGAAACCGGAGCUAAUACCGGAUAAUAUAUUGAACCGCAUGGUUCAAUAGUGAAAGACGGUUUUGCUGUCACUUAUAGAUGGAUCCGCGCCGCAUUAGCUAGUUGGUAAGGUAACGGCUUACCAAGGCAACGAUGCGUAGCCGACCUGAGAGGGUGAUCGGCCACACUGGAACUGAGAACAGGUCCAGACUCCUACGGGAGGCAGCAGUAGGGAAUCUUCCGCAAAGGGCGAAAGCCUGACGGAGCAACGCCGCGUGAGUGAUGAAGGUCUUCGGAUCGUAAAACUCUGUUAUUAGGGAAGAACAAAUGUGUAAGUAACUAUGCACGUCUUGACGGUACCUAAUCCGAAAGCCACGGGUAAAUACGUG